RNAcentral lists this ribosomal RNA (223 nucleotides) under Clostridioides difficile. Its description in RNAcentral is "partial 23S ribosomal RNA". It matches the Rfam family "Bacterial large subunit ribosomal RNA", at positions 1181 to 1411 of the family's 2925-position model. Lineage: Bacteria; Bacillati; Bacillota; Clostridia; Peptostreptococcales; Peptostreptococcaceae. The record is from RNAcentral.
CUAAAACCUACUACCGAAGCUACGGUAUCAGUAAUGGUGGGUAGGUGAGUUUCACAUACGAGUUGAAGCAUGACCGUAAGGACCUGUGGACAGUAUGGGAGUGAGAAUGUUGGCAUGGGUAGCGAGAUGUGGGUUUGAGUCCAACAGGCCGUAAACCCAAGGUUUCCAGAGGAAGGUUCGUCCGCCCUGGGUUAGUCGGGACCUAAGCUGAGGCCGAAAGGCG